GUCUAGUGGUAUGAUACCUGCUUCGGGUGCAGGUGGUCCCGAGUUCGAAUCUCGG
This 55-nucleotide transfer RNA is filed under the name Thalassiosira oceanica. It matches the Rfam family "tRNA", at positions 10 to 63 of the family's 71-position model. From Rfam's summary of the family: Transfer RNA (tRNA) molecules are approximately 80 nucleotides in length. Their secondary structure includes four short double-helical elements and three loops (D, anti-codon, and T loops). Lineage: Eukaryota; Bacillariophyta; Thalassiosirophyceae; Thalassiosirales; Thalassiosiraceae. The record is from Rfam by way of RNAcentral.